This 377-nucleotide unclassified non-coding RNA is filed under the name uncultured Chlamydiales bacterium. Its description in RNAcentral is "contains 16S-23S intergenic spacer region". The record is from RNAcentral. Lineage: Bacteria; Pseudomonadati; Chlamydiota; Chlamydiia; Chlamydiales.
UCCUAGUUAACCUAGGCAGUCUCAUUAGAGUACCCGACUUUCUCGUUGGCAACUAAUGACAAGGGUUGCGCUCGUUGCGGGACUUAACCCAACACCUCACGGCACGAGCUGACGACAGCCAUGCAGCACCUGUGCAGAAGCUCUUUCGAGAAGUGCCAUCUCUGGCACGGUCCUCUGCAUUUCCAACCUGGGUAAGGUUCUUCGCGUUGCAUCGAAUUAAACCACAUGCUCCACUGCUUGUGCGGGCCCCCGUCAAUUCUUUUGAGUUUCACCCUUGCGAGCGUACUCCUCAGGCGGCAUACUUAUCGCGUUAGCUUCGACACCAUUAGGGUUGAGCCUAAUGACAUCAAGUAUGCAUCGUUUACGGCAAGGACUAC